CUCAGAACGAACGCUGGCGGCAUGCCUAACACAUGCAGUCGAGCGAGAAAGCCCUCCGGGGUGAGUAAAGCGGCGCACGGGUGAGUAACACGUGGGUAAUCUGCCCUUGAGUUUGGGACACCCUUCGAAAGAAGGGCUAAUACCGGAGAGACCACAGGAACAUAAGUUCCCGGGGUUAAAGGCGGCGCAAGCUGUCGCUCAAGGAUGAGCUCGCGGUCUAUUAGCUUGUUGGUGAGGUAAUGGCUCACCAAGGCUGUGAUGGAUAUCUGGUUUGAGAGGAUGAUCAGACACACUGGAACUGAGACACGGUCCAGACUCCUACGGGAGGCAGCAGUGGGGAAUUUUGGACAAUGGGCGCAAGCCUGAUCCAGCAAUGCCGCGUGAGGGAGGACGGUUUUCGGAUUGUAAAUCUCUGUCGGCAGGGACAAACGACUGGAUGGCAAAUAGUCAUUCGGAGUGAUGGUACCUGCAAAGGAAGGGGCGGCUAACUCUGUGCCAGCAGCCGCGGUAAUACAGAGGCCCCAAGCGUUGUUCGGAAUUAUUGGGCGUAAAGCGGGUGUAGGUGGCUAUGCAAGUCGGAUGUGAAAUCCCUGGGCUCAACUCAGGACGUGCGUUCGAUACUGCGUGGCUAGAGUACGGUAGAGGAAAGUGGAAUUCCUAGUGUAGGGGUGAAAUCCGUAGAUAUUAGGAGGAAUACCAAAGGCGAAGGCAGCUUUCUGGCCCGUAACUGACACUCAGACCCGAAAGCGUGGGUAGCAAACAGGAUUAGAUACCCUGGUAGUCCACGCCGUAAACGAUGGAUGCUUGUCGUUGGAGGAUUGAAANCUUCAGUGACGGAGUUAACGCGUUAAGCAUCCCGCCUGGGGAGUACGGUCGNCAGAUUACACCUCAAAGAAAUUGACGGGGACCCGC
RNAcentral lists this ribosomal RNA (912 nucleotides) under uncultured organism. RNAcentral's name for it is "bacterial SSU rRNA". It matches the Rfam family "Bacterial small subunit ribosomal RNA", at positions 23 to 924 of the family's 1533-position model. The record is from RNAcentral.